Molecule: ribosomal RNA, 675 nt
Filed under: uncultured Azospirillum sp.
Lineage: Bacteria; Pseudomonadati; Pseudomonadota; Alphaproteobacteria; Rhodospirillales; Azospirillaceae
Description: bacterial SSU rRNA
Rfam family: Bacterial small subunit ribosomal RNA
Source: RNAcentral
UGCAGUCGAACGCAUCGCAAGAUGAGUGGCGCACGGGUGAGUAACACGUGGGAAUGUGCCCUUUGGUUCGGAAUAACGUCUGGAAACGGACGCUAAUACCGGAUGUCCCCUGCGGGGGAAAGAUUUAUCGCCAAAGGAGCAGCCCGCGUCUGAUUAGGUAGUUGGUGGGGUAACGGCCUACCAAGCCGACGAUCAGUAGCUGGUCUGAGAGGAUGAUCAGCCACACUGGGACUGAGACACGGCCCAGACUCCUACGGGAGGCAGCAGUGGGGAAUAUUGGACAAUGGGCGCAAGCCUGAUCCAGCCAUGCCGCGUGAGUGAUGAAGGCCUUCGGGUUGUAAAGCUCUUUCGCACGUGACGAUGAUGACGGUAACGUGAGAAGAAGCCCCGGCUAACUUCGUGCCAGCAGCCGCGGUAAUACGAAGGGGGCUAGCGUUGUUCGGAAUUACUGGGCGUAAAGGGCGCGUAGGCGGUUUUUCAAGUCAGGCGUGAAAGCCCCGGGCUUAACCUGGGAACUGCGCUUGAGACUGUGAGACUAGAGUACCGGAGAGGUAGGUGGAAUUCCCAGUGUAGAGGUGAAAUUCGUAGAUAUUGGGAAGAACACCAGUGGCGAAGGCGACUCCCUGGCCAAAGACUGACGCUCAUGUGCGAAAGUGUGGGUAGCGAACAGGAUUA